RNAcentral lists this ribosomal RNA (246 nucleotides) under uncultured Micromonas. RNAcentral describes it as "partial Bacterial small subunit ribosomal RNA". It matches the Rfam family "Bacterial small subunit ribosomal RNA", at positions 1156 to 1400 of the family's 1533-position model. The record is from RNAcentral. Lineage: Eukaryota; Viridiplantae; Chlorophyta; Mamiellophyceae; Mamiellales.
GGUCAACUCGGAGGAAGGUGGGGAUGACGUCAAAUCAUCAUGCCCCUUAUGUCUUGGGCUUCACGCAUGCUACAAUGGCCGGUACAAAGGGCUGCGAUACCGUAAGGUGGAGCGAAUCCCAAAAAGCCGGUCUCAGUUCGGAUUGAGGUCUGCAACUCGACCUCAUGAAGUCGGAGUCGCUAGUAAUCGCAGAUCAGCAACGCUGCGGUGAAUACGUUCCCGGGGCUUGUACACACCGCCCGUCAA